Non-coding RNA from Oryza glumipatula, 198 nucleotides. Lineage: Eukaryota; Viridiplantae; Streptophyta; Magnoliopsida; Poales; Poaceae. The record is from Rfam.
UAUAAGUGCAGCCAUGAGUUUCCAUGUCCGACUUUGAUCGUCCGUCUUAUUUAAAAUUUUUUAUUAUUAAUAUUUUAUUGUUAUUAAAUUAUAAAACAUGAAUAGUAUUUUAUGUGUGACUUAUUUUUUUUAGUUUUUCAAAAAAAAAAUAAGACGAACGAUUAAAGUUGGACACAGAAACUUAUGACUGCACUUAUU